GUGCUUUGAACUUGUUUAUGGUCCUUCGUAACACUGUGCUGCUAGGUAGGAGACUACGUUCUCACCCGAACAGAAUACCAUUAAUAAUUUACACUGUGAGUCAGGGACUUUGUCCUAGGGUACUUGCAUAGGCAUAGUGGCCACUUUUCCAAGAUAAGAACUUGAAACUCUAUCUUCCUUGAGGUUACAUUGCAGACACCAGACCCUGAUGGGUUGCAACCAGAUCUAAGGACAGGCAGUCCUACCUCUGCUGGCAUCCUUGUAGCGCUGUCCUCACACUCAGUCCCACACACAGGAGCUGAAUUGUUUGACGAGCUUCAAGCAAUUUCUACAGCAUAAAUAAAGACAGAGAACAAUUAUUAGUUUGUCAGG
Oxyura jamaicensis (ruddy duck) is the source of this 372-nucleotide long non-coding RNA. RefSeq lists it as uncharacterized. The transcript is spliced from 2 exons. Lineage: Eukaryota; Metazoa; Chordata; Aves; Anseriformes; Anatidae. The record is from RefSeq and is a predicted model, not a curated record.